GACGAACGCUGGCGGCGUGCUUAACACAUGCAAGUCGAACGGAAAGGCCCUGCUUUUGUGGGGUGCUCGAGUGGCGAACGGGUGAGUAACGCGUGAGUAACCUGCCCUUGACUUUGGGAUAACUUCAGGAAACUGGGGCUAAUACCGGAUAGGAGCUCCUGCUGCAUGGUGGGGGUUGGAAAGUUUCGGCGGUUGGGGAUGGACUCGCGGCUUAUCAGCUUGUUGGUGGGGUAGUGGCUUACCAAGGCUUUGACGGGUAGCCGACCUGAGAGGGUGACCGGCCACAUUGGGACUGAGAUACGGCCCAGACUCCUACGGGAGGCAGCAGUGGGGAAUAUUGCACAAUGGGCGGAAGCCUGAUGCAGCAACGCCGCGUGCGGGAUGACGGCCUUCGGGUUGUAAACCGCUUUCGCCUGUGACGAAGCGUGAGUGACGGUAAUGGGUAAAGAAGCACCGGCUAACUACGUG
RNAcentral lists this ribosomal RNA (468 nucleotides) under uncultured bacterium. RNAcentral describes it as "partial 16S ribosomal RNA". It matches the Rfam family "Bacterial small subunit ribosomal RNA", at positions 28 to 507 of the family's 1533-position model. The record is from RNAcentral.